UCCGGGUAGGUGAACCUGCGGAGGGAUCAUUACCGAGUUUACAACUCCCAAACCCCUGUGAACAUACCACUUGUUGCCUCGGCGGAUCAGCCCGCUCCCGGUAAAACGGGACGGCCCGCCAGAGGACCCCUAAACUCUGUUUCUAUAUGUAACUUCUGAGUAAAACCAUAAAUAAAUCAAAACUUUCAACAACGGAUCUCUUGGUUCUGGCAUCGAUGAAGAACGCAGCAAAAUGCGAUAAGUAAUGUGAAUUGCAGAAUUCAGUGAAUCAUCGAAUCUUUGAACGCACAUUGCGCCCGCCAGUAUUCUGGCGGGCAUGCCUGUUCGAGCGUCAUUUCAACCCUCAAGCACAGCUUGGUGUUGGGACUCGCGUUAAUUCGCGUUCCCCAAAUUGAUUGGCGGUCACGUCGAGCUUCCAUAGCGUAGUAGUAAAACCCUCGUUACUGGUAAUCGUGCGCGGCCACGCCGUUAAAGCC
Molecule: ribosomal RNA, 476 nt
Filed under: Fusarium sp. ASR-80
Lineage: Eukaryota; Fungi; Ascomycota; Sordariomycetes; Hypocreales; Nectriaceae
Description: eukaryotic LSU rRNA
Rfam family: 5.8S ribosomal RNA (bases 181-334)
Source: RNAcentral